Long non-coding RNA from Manis javanica (Malayan pangolin), 1275 nucleotides. RefSeq lists it as uncharacterized. The record is from RefSeq and is a predicted model, not a curated record. Lineage: Eukaryota; Metazoa; Chordata; Mammalia; Pholidota; Manidae.
GGAGGCUUCACAGGAGACACAGCUGCCCUGAGAGUCCCAGCCUGCUUAGCAACUACCUUAAAGGAGCAGAAGGGCUCCCAGAACACGCAGGGAGUGGUUUCCUGGGGCUGCAAGCCAGGAGUCCGUCUUCCCAGAACAAAUAUGAGAUAAGUAAGUGAAGCCUCUUCUAUGCAUUAGGCACUGGAGAAACAGCAGAGAAGAACAGGCCCCACCCCUUGAGGGCUUACAAACCAGACAGCUGAAAUAUAAGUCUCUAAAAAGGACGGUCCUUAUGGAAAUUGUUCACCAUUCUGUCUCCAGAACCCAGAACAAGGCCUGGUGCAUGGGCCCGAGUUACUUGGAGGAGAGGCAGAUGGCUGUGGGCUAAUUCCUGAAGUGCACUUCUGGGGACCAUCAUCCUGGUUCCCAGGCUGACAUUCCACACGGGCUACAGGUCUCCUCUGAAAAUCAUUAAUUCUUCCCAAGGAAUAGUGGACAGCAGGUUAGGCACACUGGAAAAAGGCGGUUGGAUCCUUCAUGCUGAGAAGCCUGGAUUGACAGUGAGCAAGAGGAGGGUCUAAUGACUGAACAAUCAAAGGGAUGUCUGCACCGGAGUAUCUGCCUGCAAGGCAGUCCCAGCAGUUGGCUCUUGGGGACCUGGCUGGGGAGCCUCGAGCUGUCCCAGGAUGUGUUGCCAGAGAGGAGCAGGGCGAUGGGAACGGGGCCUGAGAGCAGAAGUCACCCAGCCUGGGGGCCACUCCAUGCGGAGCAUCCCACAUCGCCUUGGCUUCCAAAUGGGACUGGCUUUUAUUUCCAGAAGUGUUGGAGGUGGUGGAGAAAGGCUGGUCCCUGCUGUACUUCUGAGGGCAAGCUGCGUGACGCUGGAGGCAGGCACGCCGUGCCCUUCCCCCUCACUGCUGCCUUCAGGCCACUGACCUGUGACCCCUGUCCAAGAGGCUUUUUCCUCCUGAAGCAGUAUCAGUUUGUCACUCCAUCCUCUUCUCAUCCUCAGGGCUCUCGUGUAGGGACCUCCGUGUUUUCGUAUUCCCCUAGGACAAGGACUCUAGUCCCAACUGCUAGGCUCUUCCUGGACUCCACCUCCUGCUGUCAUUCCAAGUGACCUUGGUCCCCACUGUGAUGGGCUUACCUCCUCCUCUCUGACCUGCCUGCUCCUCUCCAGUUCAGCCGUACCCUGGAUGCCUCAAAAUUGCUCCAUCUCUGAAAUAAUAAACUGGGACACGCCCUUUCUGAACACCACUGCCGUUAUUCCACCUCGUUCACCGCCGUCACUCCCAG